Molecule: long non-coding RNA, 361 nt
Filed under: Heterocephalus glaber (naked mole-rat)
Lineage: Eukaryota; Metazoa; Chordata; Mammalia; Rodentia; Bathyergidae
Description: lncRNA (ENSHGLG00000027097.2)
Source: RNAcentral
CAUCUUAUUGAAUGUUUACCGUUAAGAGGAACUGGUGAAACCAUACAGAAGACCCAGGAUUCCCACUGGCCUCAGAGUCCCACCAUCCACUCUGGUCACUCACCACAAAUGGACAACCUGGGCAGUCACUGUCCUGGAUUGGGCAUAUUGCAGUGUACAUAACAGGCUGGGCUCCUGGUCUCAUGGAGUGAACUGUCCAGGGCCAGAUAGAGGCGGAAAGCGACACCGAGAAUCCAUUCCAAACGAGCAGCCAAGAGGAGACGAGGCAGCUCCCAGAUGUUGAUGCUUUGUUUUUUGACAUAAAUCUUUGCACUCAUGUGGGAGUUUUCAUUGAUUCAUGUUCCCAUCUGCUGAAUUUCCU